Molecule: ribosomal RNA, 253 nt
Filed under: uncultured bacterium
Lineage: Bacteria
Description: partial 16S ribosomal RNA
Rfam family: Archaeal small subunit ribosomal RNA
Source: RNAcentral
UACCAGCACCCCGAGUGGUCGGGACGAUUAUUGGGCCUAAAGCAUCCGUAGCCGGCCUUACAAGUCCUCCGUUAAAUCCAGCUGCUUAACAGAUGGGCUGCGGAGGAUACUAUAAGACUAGGAGGCAGGAGAGGCAAGCGGUACUCAGUGGGUAGGGGUAAAAUCCGUUGAUCCAUUUAAGACCACCAGUGGCGAAGGCGGCUUGCCAGAAUGCGCUCGACGGUGAGGGAUGAAAGCUGGGGGAGCAAACCGG